CUGCUCUGAUGUAAUUCAACUUGAAAUAUAAACCAAAGAGGGAUAUUUUAACCUAAUAUCUGGGGAAAUUUGGCAAUGUAAUAGAAAAAUUUACUUUUAUGGACAAGAAGAAUGUGCUUGAUCAGAAGAAUGUCAUUUGGAGCCUUUAAUGGAUCUACUCAGUUGAAACAGUGCAUGACUGAUGCCAAAAGGCACAGUCUUCUUAUCUCUUUUCUCCCCAGGCAUGUACCACUGCCUCCUCCCUUGAGACAGAGCUGGAGACCAUGUGGUUGGAGGGUGGCCUCAAAAGCUCAUUGAUCGCCUGAGUAAAUGGAUAAUUUCUUACGGUAGGCUUGUUCUCUGUUGGAUUAAUUAUCUGACCCCAUUUAUCCAAUGGUAGCUGGAUUGCCAGAGUCAAUGGAAAAAGAAAAAGUAAGGAGCUUGAGUGGGACCACACCUUCUGUGAGCUAUAAUUGGACCAGGCUAUAAAUAGACCCAUUAUAUCUAGUGUGAAAUCUCGGAAGAAAGGAAACGGCAGGGAAGGUCUGGUGAUUUACAGGAUAACUCCUCAGGGCUUUGUCUGGGCUGGUGGAGCUGGUGCUUCUUCUCAUCCCACAGUUCCAGCUACCUGCGCUGCCUUGGCAGCUGAGGCUGCAAGCAAAGGCAAAAGAGACACCAGGCAAUGUUGGGGGCAAAAGGCAAGGGAGGUGCAUGCUGUUUAUUUCUGAGGAAGAAAAGGAAGGUGUGAAUGUAAAGAACAGAUCGACAGGCUUAAGUGACAUCCAUUUCAUGUAUGCUUUGUUGUGUUUGGAAAGGAUUUCUGUUAAUUGCGAACAGUGGAGAAAAUUUGUGCUUAUAAUAUGGUAGAGAUUUCUGAGUAGAAUAAUUAUGCUCAUUGGAGUUGAACUAAAAGCUCACCCUAGAGUAAGGCAAAGAAGUGUGUUUGUGUGUAGCUAUAGGGAAAAAUAAGAAGGACAAAAGACUCCAGUCUUCCUUGAAAAGCAGCAAUGCUUUUAAAUAUUUCUUGAUGCCAGAGAGCUGUUAUAGCUGUAAUGUUGGGGACCAUUGCUAGAACAAUUGGUGAAAUAUGGGCUGGCUGGAAGGAAUUUGUAGCAACAAAACCAGCUUAAAGCACAGGAUCUGAGACAGCCUGUAUGGAGUCCUGAGAUGUCUGACAGUCACAAAAUGUGAAUGAAGCAGGCUAGGCAAAAGCCUUACCAUAGAACAGGCUGUGAAAUAGUGUUAAUCAACAUUUAAGAUAGUAUACAUUACUCUGUUUUCUUACCUUUUGUGUGCUUUUUAUUCUCUAAGAAAAUAUUGCUAAAGUCAAGUCAUUCAUGUUUGUAAAUGAGGAAAAUUAUUCCAGAGAGCACCACAAAGUUUUGCUUAAUUUCCCAACUUUUGGGCUCAACAAGAAUCAAUGGUUAAUAGGCAUCAUCCCCUGCUGCUACCAGCUAAGUCCUGACAAAAACAUGUUGCAGAAGUAAACAUGAAUUGAUGCAUUAUGUCUGCUUCUGUGUUUCAAAUAAAUUUCAAAAACCCAAAAAGCA
This 1529-nucleotide long non-coding RNA is filed under the name Zonotrichia albicollis (white-throated sparrow). RNAcentral's name for it is "lncRNA (ENSZALG00000014605.1)". The record is from RNAcentral. Lineage: Eukaryota; Metazoa; Chordata; Aves; Passeriformes; Passerellidae.